CCAAGGCGACGAUCAGUAGGGGUUCUGAGAGGAAGGUCCCCCACAUUGGAACUGAGACACGGUCCAAACUCCUACGGGAGGCAGCAGUGAGGAGUAUUGGUCAAUGGACGAGAGUCUGAACCAGCCAAGUAGCGUGCAGGAUGACGGCCCUAUGGGUUGUAAACUGCUUUUAUAAGGGAAUAAAGUGAGUCUCGUGAGACUUUUUGCAUGUACCUUAUGAAUAAGGACCGGCUAAUUCCGUGCCAGCAGCCGCGGUAAUACGGAAGGUCCGGGCGUUAUCCGGAUUUAUUGGGUUUAAAGGGAGCGUAGGCCGGAGAUUAAGCGUGUUGUGAAAUGUAGACGCUCAACGUCUGCACUGCAGCGCGAACUGGUUUCCUUGAGUACGCACAAAGUGGGCGGAAUUCGUGGUGUAGCGGUGAAAUGCUUAGAUAUCACGAAGAACUCCGAUUGCGAAGGCAGCUCACUGGAGCGCAGCUGACGCUGAAGCUCGAAAGUGCGGGU
This 501-nucleotide ribosomal RNA is filed under the name uncultured bacterium. RNAcentral's name for it is "bacterial SSU rRNA". It matches the Rfam family "Bacterial small subunit ribosomal RNA", at positions 268 to 766 of the family's 1533-position model. The record is from RNAcentral.